RNAcentral lists this ribosomal RNA (1573 nucleotides) under Triticum aestivum (bread wheat). RNAcentral's name for it is "partial small subunit ribosomal RNA". Lineage: Eukaryota; Viridiplantae; Streptophyta; Magnoliopsida; Poales; Poaceae. The record is from RNAcentral.
AUACGUACGGAGAAAAAUUAGACGAGCGAAAGAAACACCCCCCGCGUCGCCUCCUCUGGCGGCACGGGGGAGACCCCAUCCGCCGCCGCUGGGUAGCCACCCCCGUCCACCACCGCUGCGCCGCCGCCGGAGGGCCGGCCGGCAAAGCCGCGCCGCGCCCCGGGAUGGUGGCGGCGGGGCGGAUCCGUCUCCCCAACUUGCGUCUGCUUUCCCGCGCCCCUCUCGAGAUCCAUCUGCUGCCACCGUCGGGAGGCGCCCGCUUCUGCCGCGCCGUCGCCGGAGGGCCGGCCAGCUAGGCCGCGCCGGGGUGGAUCCGUCCCUCCCGUGCUUCCCCAACACCGCCCCUCCCCCCGCGCCCCCGAGUUCCUCGCGUGCGUCGCGGGCGCACCCUCCCAGCUGCUGUGUUCCUGCUGGUCCGGCGACAGGUGCGGCGUGCUAGGCCAUGGCCUUGUGCGCCUUUCCCUCCCCUGCGGUCCCCCCUUCCCUCGGCGUGGCCCAGUCCUCCUGGUGCUACUUGGGUGUGAUUUGGGCGGACCUGCGGCCGGUCGCGGGGGUGUUCGUAGCCUGCCUUUUUUGCAUUGGCGGACCCCCUUGUCUCCGGCGGCCCUUCCUCCCCUCAAGCCGCGGUGAAGGCUCACACGGUGGCCACGAGGCUACGGUGCUAGUGGCAGUCCCGGGGCUCCACAAGGUGGGUACUUGCUGGUGCUGCUCUGGCCCCGGUGACCUUGGACCCGCGUCUCUCGGGUGUCCAUGGCUGACGGCGUCCCUUGCCGGGCAGCUCGGGCCUCGGUGACCAGGCAGUUGCGUCCCUUCCAGCUCGUCUGGCUCACCGACGUCCCGACGGCUAUGGCCACGGUAGCAUGGAUCUGCGUCCCUCCAGUCUCUGCUUGCCGGUGUUGCUGAUCGCCGUCGCCCCAUCCGCUUGUGGCUUGCUUCGCCACUUGCCCUACUCUGUACGACUCAAAGCCUCCGUUUUCGCCAGAUCCAACGCUUGUGGGUCGGGAAGCGGUGCCACCAUCCGACAGCAGGUGCAGCCCCGCCAACCCCCCUUCCGACAUGGUGGCUCCGACCAGCGUGGCUUCCUCAUCCCGACUCCAGAUACGGCGGCUAUGGGAUUGUUCAGCCUCAGGCCAAGGAGAAAUCCUUACUCGGCUAGCCGAUGCUGGCAGCGACGGCGUUUGCGGAUGUCGUUUUCCUUCUUGGAGGCGCUGGCCCUCAGUUGCGUCCCUCUUCGAGCUCAGGGGAAACCCUAGGUCUGGUUCCUCCGGACCGGAUGGCGACGACGUUUUGGCGUCGACUUCCUUCUUGAAGGCGCUAUCUUGUUCGCUCGUGGUGUCCCCGGUUCUGGCUUAGGUGAUGUUGGAAUUCUUGCUGGUUCGGCAUUGCCAUUCUUGAUUUGGGUUUGGUUGGUUUAGCUGUGAUGUAUCCCCUGUCCGGGCUGAGCAUCCCUUGUGUCUCUGCUCCGGACACCAUGUUUAUGCCUGUAUGCGUUCGUGUCAUGUGUUGUACCUCUAUUUGUACUCAUUCUACUCCUUCUAUCAAUGCAAUGAUACGCAAGCUUUGCGUAUUCGCG